UGGAAUGUAGCUUAGCAGUAGAGUGCUUGCCUGGCAUGCAUGAAGCCCUGGGUUUGAUUUCUCAGCACCAG
This is a non-coding RNA of Dipodomys ordii (Ord's kangaroo rat), 71 nucleotides long. Lineage: Eukaryota; Metazoa; Chordata; Mammalia; Rodentia; Heteromyidae. The record is from Rfam.